AUUGAACGCUGGCGGCAGGCCUAACACAUGCAAGUCGAACGGUAACAGGAAACAGCUUGCUGUUUCGCUGACGAGUGGCGGACGGGUGAGUAAUGUCUGGGAAACUGCCUGAUGGAGGGGGAUAACUACUGGAAACGGUAGCUAAUACCGCAUAACGUCGCAAGACCAAAGAGGGGGACCUUCGGGCCUCUUGCCAUCGGAUGUGCCCAGAUGGGAUUAGCUAGUAGGUGGGGUAACGGCUCACCUAGGCGACGAUCCCUAGCUGGUCUGAGAGGAUGACCAGCCACACUGGAACUGAGACACCGUCCAGACUCCUACGGGAGGCAGCAGUGGGGAAUAUUGCACAAUGGGCGCAAGCCUGAUGCAGCCAUGCCGCGUGUAUGAAGAAGGCCUUCGGGUUGUAAAGUACUUUCAGCGGGGAUGAAGGGAGUAAAGUUAAUACCUUUGCUCAUUGACGUUACCCCCAGAAGAAGCACCGGCUAACUCCGUG
Molecule: ribosomal RNA, 490 nt
Filed under: uncultured bacterium
Lineage: Bacteria
Description: partial 16S ribosomal RNA
Rfam family: Bacterial small subunit ribosomal RNA
Source: RNAcentral